This 34060-nucleotide long non-coding RNA is filed under the name Solanum lycopersicum (tomato). RNAcentral's name for it is "long non-coding RNA (SLYC_LNC000814)". The record is from RNAcentral. Lineage: Eukaryota; Viridiplantae; Streptophyta; Magnoliopsida; Solanales; Solanaceae.
UUUUUUUUUUUUUUUUGUAAUUUUGUUGAAAAGGGAAGAAUAAUGGAGUAAAUUCAUUUAUUUUUUUAUCCAAAAUACCCUUAAAAUAAAAUCAUUUUGAAUAUAUCAGAACCACUUUUGAGAAGUCAAACUCAUAAUUGUUACUUUUUCAGUUCAUAUUGUCCACGAAAUUGGGGUCCCCCUUACCAAUAAAUGUAUUAAAAGUUAUGUUUCUUUCUCCUUUUUUUUUAUUUUAUAUCUUUUUCUACUCCUUUUUUUCCUUUAUAUUACAUCAUAAUUUUUUAAUUAUUAUUCUUAUUAAAUAUAUUUAUUUAUCUAGAAACUUCGUAUUCUUAGUAAGAUUGUUUUGCUCGUGAUUUAAUUUGAAUUGUUUUUUAAUUAAAUGAAAAAAUUUAAUUAAUUUGAUUUUUCAAAUAUUUAUCAAGUCAAAUUAAUUAAGUCAAUUUUCAUAAUUUUUUUUGUAAAUUUUUCUUGCUAUUUGAUUUUUUGGACUUCUAAAAAAUAUAUGAUACUAUAAAAUUUUGUUAAAGUACAUAUAUAUAGGAUCCUUCAGAAAACAAAUUACGCAUUAUUUAAAAAUUUAAUUAUUUUAAAGAAAAAUGAUAAAAUUAUUUCAAACGAUUUUAAUAUUUUCUUACAAUAUUAAAGAUGAAGAUAUGUUAAGAUAUCUUGUUAAUAUUUGAUUUAAAUAAAAAUAAUCGUUGAAAAUAAUCAACUGAUAAGAAAGAGAGUAAAUACAGUUCUUUACGUAAUUAUGAACGAAUGCAAUUGCAGCUUCAAUGGUUAAAGCUUAAACGAAGAGUCUAUAGGUUACAAGUUAGAUUCUAGGUUAUGUCCCAAUUUUAGGUAUUUUUUUUUAAAUAGACUCUUUGAAGCUAUUAGGAUUUAAAUAAUUUUUAAUGUUAUAUUACUUUGGUAAAUAUGAUUGUAAAAGUUUAUAUUCAGAUUGUUUCAUAAAAAUUGAAGAUUUUUCAUUAUUAUAAGUCGAUCAUUAUGAUAAAAAUAAAUGUACUAAAUAUAGUAUUAUAUGAGUUAUGCACCCUUACAAAUACAAGUCAAUUGAAUGUGAUUAUAUAUGCAUGAUCAAGUUAUAAUAAGAUAAUACUAUUAUUUAUGACUUUGAUCGGUUUAUCUUCACAUAUUAGGAGUUAUUAGACUAUAUUUAUUGAUAAUAUCACAUUUUAAAUUUCCUAGUGAUAUUUAUUAAACAACUGAUAUGAAAGAGAGUAAAUAUAUUUCCUUAUGUAAUUAUGAAUGAAUGUUAUUGCAGCGUGAAUGGUUAAAGCUUAAACGGAUAGUCUACAGGUCACAAGUUUGAAUCUAGGUUAUGUCCCAAUUUUAGAUUUUUUUUAAAAAAAAAAGAUUCUUUGAAACUUUUAGGAUUUAAAUAAUUUUUAAAUUCAAUUUUUUGGUGCAUAAGAUUAUAAAAGCUUAUAUUUGGAUUGUUUCAUAAAAAUUGAAGAUUUUUCAUUAUUAUAAGUCGAAUCAUUAUGAUAAAAAUAAAUGUGAUGGGUACAAUAUUAUAUGAGUUAUGCUCCCUCACAAACAAGUUAAUUGAAUACUAUUAUGUAUGAAUGAUCAAAUUUUAAUUGGGUAAUACAAUUAAUUAUUGUACAUGUCAACCUUUGAUCAAUUUAUAUUCACAUUUUAGUAGUUAUUAGACUAUAUUUAUUGAUAAUAUCUCAUUUUAAAUUUACUAGUGAUAUUCAAUAAACAACUGAUAUGAAAGAUAGUAAAUACAUUUUCUUUCAUAGUUAUGAAUGAAUGCUAUUGCAGUGUAUAUGGUUAAAGCUUAAACAAAUAGUCUAUAGGUCACGAGUUCGAAUCUAAGUUUAGGUUUCCAAUUUUAGGUUAUUUUUAGUUUUUUUUUGUAAGUCUAUAGGUCAUGAGAUUUUUUUACUUUUUUCUCCAGACCUAUCGUAUGCACCAUCAAAAUCUUCAUGAUUUUGGGACAACAAACUAUCAUCCUCAUCUAAAUCCAAAAUAUUAUUCAAUACUUCAUUUAAUUGACUAUUCGAAUUCAUCUUGUUAAAAUUAUAUGAAUCUAACGACAAAAUAAAAUCUUGAACAAUAAAAUAAGAUAAAAUUGUGAACGAAGUAAAGAAGAAAAAAUGAGUAAGGUAAGAGAGAGAGAGAAAAUAAGAAAGAAAAAGUUUAAGAGUGAUUUUUUAUUUUGAAUGGAAACAACAAGUGAUUUUAAAGUCAAAAGGUUAUUUAGUCAUUUACUCAUAGCUUGCCAAUUCAUGCCAAAAAAAUAUCUUGUCAUUUAGUAAUACUCAUUUAUUAAAUGCUCAAUUUGAGAUUGAUUGAAAAUACAUUCCCUUCUAGGGAAGAGGUUUCAUAUUUUGGAAGGACAAAUAUGAGAUGGAGACAUAUACUGCUAUCUGAAUAAUCAAAUAAAUUAAUUGUGAAUAAACUGCCAUGCUCACACCUACCUCAAAGCACCCACCACAUUUCAAUUUUCAUUUAAGGUUUUUGGGUCCAUCUAUUUUUUAACUUUUACAAUAAUCUCUCCGUCUCAUAUAAGACAAAUAUCUUAUUAAAAAUAUUUAUUUCAUAUUACUUGUUUAUUUAGUAAAUUAAAAAAAUUAUUACUUUUUCAUUUUAUCUCAAUAAUCAAUAUAACACAAAACGAAAGAAAUACUAUAUACCUAACACGUGCUUGAGAAUAUAUUUUUAACUUGUUUGGAAUUGGACACCGGUGAAAAUAAAAUAAUAGGUGGCAAUAUGAUUGUAAAGUUUUCUCAAUGGGUCAUUCUCUCUCGGUGUAGGUUACUAACGUGCGUUGGCCAUGGGGAAGAGAGCUCGUGCUCCAUCGCAGAAAACUCUAAUGGCACUGGAAGCAACAACAAAAGGAAAUCUACAUAAAGGGAAAAAGGCAUAGUAGCUUGAACUCCAGGAAGAAAUAGGAAUUGGAUCUGAAUCUAGGGAAAUGGAACAUAGUAAGGCGGAGGUGGAGAAAGAGCACCAGUUGGCUAAAUGAAAUGCCAAGUAUGUAGAGAAGGAGAACAAGGUAGUAACACAAAAACAUUGGGCAGGAAUCACAAAAUCACAAUCUUUGAAAAUGGGGUCUCCGUCUGAAAAUGGAUCGGCGGCAUGGGCAGAUGAAGUAGAAGAGGUAAUGUUGCAGAAACCAAAGGCUGGAAAAGUGUGGGAUACAUUUGACAUUUCUAAACUAGCCAAAGUUGGAUUCAAGUUAGAUUACUUGGCUCCAGAGAAACAUGGUGAAGGGUCAAUAAUCGACAUUGAUUUUGAAGAUAUUGAGUCUGAAGUUAACUAUUGGAAUAAUGUGGUGGUUUGUUAUGUACUGGGUGCACACCUUCCAUUCACUGUAAUUAACGGAUACAUCCAAAGAAUUUGGGCAAAGUAUGGGUUUAACAAGAUGGCGAUGCUGAAAAAUGGAGUCAUGAUAGCAAUGUUUAAUUCAGUUUAGGGAAAAGAGAAAGCGCUAAAAGUAGGAAUUUACCAUUUUGACAACAAGUCAUUUAUUGUCAAAGCAUGGUCAAUGGAUAUGUAAUUCACAAAGGAGGAACUGAAUUCUGUUCUGAUUUGGAUAAAACUUUCAGAAUUUGACUUCAAGUAUUGGAGUCCAAUAGGAUUAAGUAAGGUCGGGAGUUUGAUAGGAAAACCAUCACUGGCUGAUCAGAAUACUGAAAAAAAGCAGGGUCUUAAUUUUGCUAGAAUCCCAAUUGAGGUAGAGUUGGGGGUUAAUCUUCCAAAAAAAAAGUGUAUUUCAAGAAUGUGAAAGUACAGGUGAUAGAACAACAAGUCGUGUAUGAUUGGAAACCCACCCACUGUAAGUUUUGUGACAAGUAUGGGCACACUAGUGAUGAAUGUCGAAGGAAGAAUCCUUCAAAGAAGAAGGGAAUUAUGAAGGAAUAAGAGAAGCAUGGACAACCACAAACAACAGUUGGCCAGAGUAGUGAAAGACAAGAGUUUAAACACGUUGAAUUAAGAACUGCUGCGAAAAAUGUGCAAUGUGAACAACAUCAGGUUGAACACGGGGAAUUAUCUUUGAUGGGUUGGAUAACACCAUUCAAAAUCGGAAGGAGCCAAGGUCCGCAUCAAGUACAAAUUGCUAGUGAUAAUUCAUUCCAAAUAUUUAACAAAUCUAAUGAGGUAAACAACUCAACUCCAAGGUCUGGACAAAUAGUAGGUGGUAGAACCAUUUUUCCAGAAGGGAAUGGUUAGUAUGAUAUGCUGGAAUGUGAGAGGGUUUAGUGCCCAGAAUAAGCAAAAUGAAGUGGUAUUCCUCUGUAAUAAGGAAAAUGUGGGAUUGGUAGGGUUAGUUGAAAUGAAAGUAAAUAGUAAAAAUAUUGAGAAAGUGGUGAAUAAAAUGUUUGGAGGUUGGCAGUUCCUAACCAACCUAGAAUCACACUACAAUGGCAGAAUUUUACUAGUAUGGAGACCAGAUUACUAUAAAGUGGAGCUAAUGAGAAGCUUAACCCAAAUGUUGACUUGCAAGGUCUGUUAUAUACUUCUGCAAUUGACGUUUAUGGUGUAAAUUGCUUAUGCAUACAACAUUAGGGAGGAUAAAAGAAAACUGUGGAAGGAAAUUAAAAACCAAAGUUCAAAUUUUCCAAAGCCAUAGCUAUUAUUGGGUGAUCUUAAUUAUGAUUUACACGCUGAAGAUAGAAUUGGAGGAAACCCCAUCUCUUUACCGGAAGUAGCAGAAUUUCAAGAUUGUAUUGAUGUAAGUGGCUUGAUAGAAUUACCUCAUGAAGGAAAAAAAAAUACACAUGGAAUGAUAGAGUGAUAGGGAAUAGAAUUCAAUCUAAGAUAGAUUGGAUGUUCAUCAAUUUGAUAUGGUUAAAUAGUAUGCCGUCAUGUGGAACAUUGUAUCUACCCGAAGGUAUAACUGGCCACUGCCCUUCAAAGGUCUAAUUACAAAAUCAAGUUACCAGAACAAGAAGAGCAUUCUAGUAUUGUAAUGUUUGGGCACAACAUCCACAAUUCAAUGACAGAAUCCAAGCAGUAUGGGACACACAUGUGGAGGGAUGUAAAAUGUGGAAAGUGGUGAAAAUAUUAAAAUUAUUGAAACCAGGUCUGAAGAAACUAAAUACACAUUAUUUCAGAAACAUUGUUACUGAUGCAUGUGAAGAUAGGGAGGCCUUGUUAGAAGCGCAACAGAAGCUUUAAAAUGAUCCUCAAAACAAGUCUUUACAGGAAGAAGAUAAAGUUUAAUAUGACAAGUACAGGUACACUUCCUAUAUGGAUGAAAGCUUUCUCUAACAACGAAAUAAGGCAACAUGGUUGAAGCUAGGAUAUGACUGCACGAGAUAUUUUUUCGCUGUGAUAAAACAUCGGAGACUCCAGCAGAUAAUAACACAAAUUAUAGAUGACCAAGAUGAAUAGCAGUAUGAUCAGGAGGCGAUUGCAACUAUAUUUGUGAGUUUUUAUGAGCUAUUCGGGUAAGAAGAUUCUACGAAGGAGGCAGAUUGCUCAGCUUUCUUUAGUAAUGGUCAUAUCCUUUCUAUAGAGUAACAACUAGAAGUGCAACAGAGGUUUAAGCAAAUGAAUGUCAAGGAAACAAUGUUCAAGAUAGACUGCAACAAAAGCACUGGCCCUGAUGGAUACGGGAGUGGAUUUUUUACAUCAUCUUGAAAGAUUGUGGGAAAAAAUAUUACAGAGGCCAUCCUAGAAUUCUUCGAAAAUGACAAGUUUUUGAGACAAAUUAAUGCUAUAAAUAUUACCUUAAUUCCUAAAGUUGUUGUUCCGAAAUUUGCCAGCCAAUACAGACUUAUUUCCUGUUGUAAUAUAUUGUAUAAGUGCAUUACAAAAAUGAUCUGCACAUGACAAGACAUCUCCUAGAUGUUUAAUAAAAAUUGAUCUGAGGAAGGUAUACGAUAUGGUGAACUGAGAAUUUGUAAAGAAAGCAUUACAGAGAUAUGGGUUUCCUAAAUUGGAAAAAGAGAUACGAACGGAGAGGAAUAACCAAUCGAUGAAAGAACAUGAAACCAUUCUGUUUCAAUAUAGGUAUGAGAAACGGUUGGGGGCAAUGAAGUAGGUGAAAUGGUUUGGAUUUAAGUAGAUUUACAGAACUUGUCAUGACAUGUGUCACAUCCGCUAUGCUUACGGUUAAGGUAAAUAGAGAAGGGAGUGGUUUUUUUGCUGGUAAACGAGGAUUAAUAUAGGGGGAUCCUAUGUCGCCUUUGUUGUUUGUGCUUGUAAUGGAAUACUUGUCCUAAACUUUGAAGUGUAUGAGUGAGUUGCCUGAUUUUCAUUUUCACCCAAUGUAUGAGAAACUCAACUUGACGCAUUUAAUAUUCGCAAACGAUUUGAUGAUGUUUUGCAAAGGGGAUGUUCAAUCAGUAAGCAGAAUAAUAGAGGCUUUGCAGCAUUUCAGUAGUGUCACUGGUUUAGUUGCAAAUAUGGAGAAGUCAAACAUAUUUAUGGCAGGGGUAAAUGAUAUUACCAAAAAGCAAUUGUUGCUAAGAACAUGAUUUUCGCAGGGCUCUUUUCCUAUUAGAUAUCUCGGGAUGCCGUUAUCUUCUAAUAAAUGGAGUAAAAUGGAGUGUCAUUAACUGAUACAAAAGAUCACGAGUAGAAUAACAAAGGUCUACUCAGAACAGUUAUCCUAUGUAGGAAGACUACAGGUGACAAUAUCAGUAUUGUUUGAUUUUCAUAACUUUUGGGGUUCUGCGUUUAUUCUACCACAGGGUGUAUUAAAAGAAGUUGACAAAAAAUGCAGAAAAUACCUCUGGAGCGGUAAGUAUGAUAAGAGGAGGACACUAUUAGUAUCUUGGGACAAAGUGUGUCUGCCUAAGAAGUUCGGUGGACUAAAUAUUAAGGGGAGCAAGUUGUGGAAUGUGGCGUCGGUGGGAAAACUUUUAUGGCAGUUAAUAGUCAAUAAGGAUGUAUUGUAAGUCAAAUAGUACAUGGGGUGUAUAUGAAGGAUAACCAUGAUAUCUGGGCGCAUACAUCACCGCAAGAUAGUAGUUGGUACUGGAGGAAGUUGAAUGCACUGGAGUCUGAUAUGGCGGAGUGGUACUCUCAAGGAGCUUAUGUCCUAGCAGAAAAUGGGAAGUACUCAACAGGAGCCAGUUAUGCAGUAUUGCUAGGCAUAAAGAGAAAAAUGAGGAUUUCAGACUUGAUAUGGAGCAAGAUCUCUCAACCAAGGCACAUAUUUAUAAUAUGGUUAGCUGUACAUGGUAGAUUGUUGACAAAAGAUAGACUACAAAGGAUGAAUAUACAAGUAGAUAAUAUAACAUGCAACUUGUGUGAUGACCAGUCUAUAGAGACACAACAUCACCUUUUUUUCUGAAUGUAAUUGGAUGAAAGGACUCAUUACAGCAAUGACUCAAUGGGCUGGAGUGCAAUUUCCAUCGAGGAAUGUCAAACAUGUGUUGAAUUGAAUCAGAAGGAGGCACUGGAAGCAAAUUAACAAGGAAAUAAUUGCAGCACUGUGGGGUUCCAUACUAUAUCACGUGUGGAAGGAAAGGAAUUGGAAACUGCACAGGGGAACUAUUGUCAUUAUGAAAACUACAAUCACACAAAUAAAGAUAAGUUUUAGUGUUAGAUUAGAGUUAGAAACACUAGGAAAGGCAAAAAAUGUGAUUUGUUAUUUCAGCAUUUUACUAUGUAAUUAGAGAUAUGUUGGAGGUUUAACUCAAAACAGUCCUUCUUCGAAAUAGCUGUAAAGUUAAAUGUUCUUUAGGUGUAUUGAUUUGGUUGUUAAUGGUAAUAUAACCAAAACAAAUAUGAUUGUCAUGACAAUAAUAAGAGAGUACAAAGUAUGAUCACUUGAAGUACAACUAGGGCCUACAGGUAGUAAAAUAGUUAUUGUUUGAUCAUUUUAAUAAUAGGUUAAGUAAAAAUUAAUAGAGAAAUUUUUGCAAAUAGUCAUUAUAGUAAAUUUAAUUAUGUUUCAUAAUUAUAGGUUGCAUAUUUAUAGAUUGUAGCUAUAAUUUAAGUUGUCUCGUUUGUAUUAUUCGUGGAUACAUUUGUAUAAUUCACGUGUACGUUUGAAUAAUUGAGAUAAUUUGUAUAAAUUCGUAAUUACGAAUUUAUACAAACACAAAUAUUUAAACUUUAAAAAGUGAUACAAAUUAUAUUAUAAAAAAUUUAUACAAAUUUUAGUAUUUAAAUUUGAAAUUAUACAAACUCGAAACCCUAUCCCCACAUAAUUAUUAUUGAAUGUUGAUCUCGAUUCACUACAACAAAAAUGAUCACUAUCGGCAAUUAAUUCUCAAUUGUGCUAAACGUGUAUUUUUAGCGGCAAUUGACACUCUUUGUAUCUGUCCCUUAAACUUUUAACGACAUUGGUUCUAAUGAAACUUAACUAAUGUCGGUAAAGACUUUAACACUCUUUAUUAGGCCUCAUUUGUUUGCACUUAAUGGAGGUCUGAAUCUAAAUCAUUCAAAUUCAGCUUAUUAAGUACAUUUGGUUUUUAGGUUUGAAUCUCAAUCAGCCCAUUAAGUUCAUUUGUUUUAUUUUUAAAAAGCCUCUUAAUGGGUCUGAAGAGGUCUGAAUGAAUCAGAUCUGUAGGAGACUCUUAACAACAUUCAGAUUUGUUUAAUAAGUUAUCAAAUAAUAAAUAUCGCUUCUCUACUUUAACCGUGCUUUUUGUCGCAUAACUAAAAACUUUGUUUUUCUCUUUUCUCAAUCAAACGUCAUUUUCCCCUUCUUGAACUGAUAAAUUUUCAUAAAUCUUUUCAAGUUUUUUUUUAUAUUAAUUUUCUUGUAUUGACUGUGUCAAAAACAUUGUUGGUGUAUUAGCUAGCGUUUAUCAAGGUUUUUGAAUGAAAAAAAUUUCCAAAAUCAUGAUUAUUAAAACUUUUUAUUAUCAAAAGCGAUAUAUUUUGUUGAAAUGAAAUUUUUAUUAUAUUUUAUUAGUUUAAUGUUAAUUUCACAUGCACAUUCAGAUAUUGAAAACAAACAAUAUUAAUUAUUUAGUGUUCAGAUUUAGAGACCACAUCUUAAUAUUCAGAUGUGUAUUCAGAUCAAAGUACCUGAAUCUUAAUAUUCAGAUGUGUAUUCAGAUUCAGACCUCUUAGUCUGGCUGGAAACAAAUAAGGCCUUCCGCUAUUUUUGUUGUAGUGAGUGGUAAUUAAUUAAAAUUAUAGUUAUAUAAACUAAUUAGCUAGUAUAUGUUUGCUUAACUAUACUAUUUUCCCAAAUAAGUUUAUAUUAUCCAUCAUAAAAUAUAAAUAACCACACGUAUUAGAAUGUAUAAAAAUAAUGUACAAUAGAGUAUAUUAGUAACACUUAUAUAUUAGUAAUAUUUGUAUUAGUUAUGCUUGCAUUAGCUAUAUAUAACUUUUUAUUUAUGCAUUGUUUGGUUUGAUGUAUUAAAAAUAGUACGCAUUGUAUAAUUAUAUUUAUUUACAAAAUAGUCUCCACAAUUAUGACGGAAAAAACGUAAAAUGUUUUUAGGGUCAAUUGGGUCUUUAACCAUAUUAAUACACAUAAAAAUUAAGAAAUUGACGCGACUCCUUAAAAAGGGCAUGUAAUUACAGUGGGCGCGAAAUGGCGUGAGCAUAUGUGAUGAUUCCCCAACUCAAUGCGGAGGAGCUCGUAAAGUUUGCUGAGAAAGUUUUUUGUGUGCUUUGAGCGCAAGAUCCAUGGGUUACCACAUAUGAAAAAUUAAGGAAUUUCUGUAAUUCCUAAAAAAAGGGCCUGUGGGUGUGGAAAUGAGCAAGAAAAUAAUAGCAUGAGCAUACGUGAUAGGUCCCAACUCAUGAAUUUGGAGGUCCUCAUAAAAAAUUUUCAAAUUUUUUUUUGCGUGCUCAUGGCUAAAGAUCUAUGGGAUAAUACAAAUAGAAAAUUGUGGAAUUUAAGCUAUUUCAAAAAUGGGCCUGAAGAUGCGGAUAUGAGUGAGAAAAAAAUGGUGUGAUCAUGCGCGAUGGUUCCCAACUCAAUAUAGAGGUCAUCCUACAAUUUUCUUAGAAAUUUUUUGAGUGCUCCAAGCGCCAAAUCUAUGAGCUAAUACAUAUAAAAAAAUUGAAGAAUUCACGCGAUUCACAAAAAUGACAUAUGGAUGCGAAAAUGUGCGCGAAAAAAAUGGUGUGAGCAUACAUGAUGGUUCUGCAACUCAAUACGGUGGUCCUCAUAAAGUUCUUUCAGAAACAUCUUUUGGGUGCUCCAAAAGUCAGACCCAUAGGCUAAUACACACAAAAAUUGAAGUAUUUGCGUGAUUUCAGAAAAGGCAUGUAUAUGCAAAAAUGGGAGAAGAAAAUGGUGUGAAUAUAUAUACGUGAUGGUUCCCAACUCCAUACGGAGAUCCAUAUAAAGUUUUUUGAGAAAAUAAUUUUUGGUGCUCCGAAUAUAUCGUCUGUAUGGUUGCUACGGAGCAUCUGAUUUGUAUAGAUCGACAUAUCAUUUGUAUUAAAGCGCAAUGAUUGUAUAUAUAUAACUAUAACAGAGGAGGAGGAGGGACUAGGGAAGAGGAGGAGGAGGAGGAGGAAGUUGUCUCAAUGUAUUUGAUAAAUAGUUUUUGUGAUAAGAGGCGGACCCACCCUUUUAGGUAGGGUGCACGUGCACUUGUUAAUUUCGGUAAAUAAAAUCAUGAGUUUGUGAGUGUAUGUGUGUGUAUUGAUAUAUAUUGAAAAAUUGAGAGAAAUUAGAAUAUAAUUAACGUACUCAUCAUAAAAAGCAUAAGUAUAUAUGUUAUUGUGCUGCCGGUACAAGCUAAAGUAUGCACAUGCAAGACUUGAAUUUGAAUCUAGCUAGAGUGUUGUUUCACUUUUUUUUAUGUUAAGCUUAUCAUAGAGGCUAAAGCUUAUAUUUGAGCUAAGGUAAUAUUGGUGCACCAACUUCAAAUUCCGAUUCGCCUUUUGCAGCAUUAGUUAUUUUUAGCCAAUACGAUAACUAAAAUGGAUCGGAGGGAAUAUCAUGAUUUGAAUAAAGGAUCUAACCAGAGUCAAAUUUAAAUAUAUUGAUGAAAUUUCUAAAAUUCCAACGUUAUAUCAUCCUUUUCUUAAGAAUUACCAAAUCAUAAUUAGAGUUGAGAAAAAUUUAAAGCAGAAAAUAACAUGUAUUACUAUAUGAAGAUUGGGUUGUAACAUAAGCAACCACCAAUGUUCAUUACAAGACUCGACAAUAUAUAAGUACUCCAAAUUACAAAAGAAAAGAGACAACAUAUAUAUAUAUAUAUAUAUAUAUAUAUAUAUAAUGAUGGAUCAAACUCGAUAGAUAAAUCCAUCUUAUUCUUCAUCUCCACAAGCCAGAUUUAGCUUUCAUCAACCUUACUGGACCCUGCAAUGCAAUAUUAAAUCAACAUUAAAUAUAUAGUAUGCGCGUACACACAUAUAUAUCGUUUUGUAACAUAUAAGUUUAAUCAAUAGUCAGACAUAUAUAAAUUACAAAUAAAAGAGAUAUUAUACUGUCAAUUGAAUAAGUAUAAUCACCGUACGUUGAGCAAUCAGUGGAAGGGCUGAUCUUGUAAGGAAUGUUGACUCCACAAACUCCAGGGAGCCCAGCGGCUUUUCCUGUAUCAAUGCCCUUAAUAGAAUUAGCUGCCGAUUUAAGGCAAGUGCACGCUGUCUUCCGGUCUUCUGGGGUCUUGGCUGCGCCCAAUAGACCCUUAACACCACCACAACACCCUCCUAGAGGGCCGCGACCCUCGAGAUAAGGGAGACAAGGAGCCAAGCCAGACGUAACCUCGCCGCAGCUCAGUGACUCUGCAUGGGGUGCAACCACCACCAUGCAAAAAACCACAAAGCAUGCAAUUUUUCCAAACAUUUCCAUUCUUAUAAAAAAAUUGAGUAAAGAUUAUAGAUAUAGUAGUACAAUUGUAUUUGUUUUGUGUGUUAGGUGUAAAAGCUAGUGAGUAUUUAUAGAGAGGAAAUUAGUGGAAUUAAAAAUGAGAGAAUUAGUUGGGAGUUAAGAGUUAAAUGAAAUGAGUAUAAAGUCAAAUUUCGUUUGUUACGUGACUAAUUUUUAUUGAACCACGCUAUACACGAUUUAAGGCCCAAUCCACAAAUUGUCCCAAUACUACUUUUCCUGUUACAGUGACGAAGUCAGAAAAUUUAAUUAUAUCGUAAUCUUUUUCUUAAAAUAAUGUGUGUUCGAUGGCUCUACUCAUGCUUUGAAUCAUUUUAUUUUUUAUUCUUUAUGGUAUAAAGUAAAUGUUUUUUUUUUAGAAAAAAAAAAAAUACAAGGAGAAGAGUGGUUAUUAAAUAAAGAAGAGUAAUAAAUAAGGAGAAGGGUGGGAUGUAAAAAAGUCAUAAUACAUGAAAUUGAUUAAACAAUGUCUCGAGUACAAACUAAGGAGACAGAGUACCUUACUGUUAGAUGUGGAAAUAUUAUGGUACAUGAGUUAAUUUUGAAACAAAUGACCCAUUAAUUUCUUUUAAAAAUUGGAUUUAAGGUGUAAUGUUUAUUUAUUUAAAUAAAUCAAUUUGCUUUCAUGACUUUUUAUUUUUAAAAAUGAGUUUAAGGUGUAAAGUUUAUUACUUAAUUAUAAAUGAUUAAAUAUUUUUGUAUGUUCAAUACAAAUGCUUGUUUCCGGUCAAAAAGAUCAUGAAAAAAGUAUACAAAAUAAUUAAACCUAUAGCAAAAUUAUAAUUAUGUGUUAUAGUUAUAAGUUGCAUAAUUUGCUCACCAUAGCGAAUAUGCUAUGGCUAUUUCGCUACAUAUAUAUAUAUAAAAGAAUUUAAGAUAUAUAUAUUUAUAUAUAUAUAUAUAUGUGUGUGUGUGUUAUAGUUAUAAGUUGCAUAAUUUGCUCACCAUAGCGAAUAUGCUAUGGCUAUUUCGCUACAUAUAUAUACAAAAGAAUUUAAGAUAUAUAUAUAUUUAUAUAUAUAUAUAUAUAUAAUAUAUAUUUGCAUAAAUUAUUGUCCGUCUCUCGUGGCUGCCUUUCAAUUCAAUUUUAUGUGUUUGUAUAUCUGUAUAUAAUUUGAAUUUGUAUACAAUUUAAUCGAAAUAAAAUGUUGGUAUAUCAAAUAUUGCUCUCUGUUAUACAUUGUAUUUUAUAUAAUCUAUACUUCUAUAAAGCGAGAAAGAGAAAGACAAAAGAGACCUAAGCAUGAGAAUAUUUGGAUUGUAUAAUUAUAAGUGUAUAGAACAAAAAUAUUUGUAUUUGCAUGUGUACAUACAAUUUUCUUCCGCUUUGUACAAACAGAAACACAAUUUAUACAUUUUUGUUUGUAUAAAGCGAGAGAGGCGGGGGAGAGACUGGCGAACAAGAGAGGGAGAGUGUCGAGCGAGAAUUUCAAGGAGAGAGGCGAGAACUGUGGUUUUAACAUCUAAUUUAAAUCAAUAGUUUGUCAUUAUAUACAAUUUUCUCAAUUAAAAAAAAAUAAAUCUUUUUAUUAAAUUAAUUUAAUUUACUUUUCAAUUUGGAUCGGUUUAUAACUAAACCUAUCAAAUCUUAUACAACAAUUCGUCAAACCUCAUGUCCCUGAUUACCCCUUCUUCCUUGUGGAGAGGUUUAACAACCAUCAAAGGAUAUAGGGCCACCCUAUAAUAAAACAAACUUUAAACGGUAAUAGAUAUAUAAUACAAUUAUUAAUUUUAUCAUUAACAUAAUAGAAUUAGUUAAUUAUCAUUGGUGUACUAUAGUUAUAGGCUUGAAAAUAUUUAUAAAGAGUGUUAAUUAUCUUUAAAAUAAAAUGUUUUGUCACAAUUAAGCUAUUAUUAUUAAUUAAUUAUCGCUAAAUUAAAACUAGUAGCGAAACUAGAAUCAGAAACAGAUUUAAAAAAAAUAUACGAAAUAUUUUUCUUAAAGAAGAAUUGUUGUUAAUAUGUGUCUAAAGAAUCUUACUCAUUCCAACAAGCUUUGCAAAAACACGAAGUUACCAAGUUUAAUGAACCAGUGAAGAACAAAAGAAUAGAAGAAUUGGAAUUAAUUCACAAAUCUAAAAUUUGUAAAGCACGUACCAGAAUCUGAAAAUUUUUAAUAGGAAAAAGAUCAAGUCUACUGAACUCACAGUGUUCCCUUAAGGAAAUUAUUCCCCUCUAGUAUCCGAGGUUUGAUUUGGAAUAUGACCUUCCAGGGUAAAAUAAUCUCAAUCAUCAGAGUAUAGAUACCAAAAACUCAGGUGUCAGUGAACCACUCAACGACAGUAAAGUACACUUAGAAUACUAGAUUUAGUAGUUGAAGAAGAAGUCCAUCAAUUCUAUUUUAAUAUGAGAGGAAAUCCCUCAAUUUAUAGAAAACAAAGGGUAGUGCAAAAAGGUUCUUAUUGUGCCUUACCGAAAAGGUCACAAACCUUUGGAAAAGUCACAAUCUUUCAGAAAGGUCGUCACCUUUCAUAAAAGUCACAACUUUCCAUAAAAGUCACAAGUUUUUAUAAAAGUCGCAACUUUUCAUAAAAGUCGCAAACUUUCAUAAAAAUCACAAUUUUUCAUAAAAGUCGCAAUUCUUCAUUUUCCAUUCACACCUUUUUAAAAUCGAACAAAAGAUCUUCGAUAUGAAUUAAUUUCUCUUAAUAAGACUCUACGUGAUUUGAAUAUGAAAUUAUCUAAGUUUAAUAUAAAUAAUAGUCAAAUUUUAAUACAAAUAUAAAAAGAAAAUAGAAAGAAGUUUGACGAAUAUGAGGUGGACACAAAUUGCCAAUCUAAUAGUCGACUGAGACUGAAGAAAUUAAUUGCGACAACAACCAAUGAAUACGACUUUCUCUAUUCAUUUUAAUUAUUCAUAAUAUUAAAAAAAAAAAUUAAUUUAUCCACUUAAUUAGCUUAUCAAGAUAAAUUAUAUAUUUUAUUUUAUUAUUAUUAGCUAUGUAUUCUAUUUUAUUUUUCAAAUUCAUUGAGACUAUAUAUAUAUAUAUAUAUAUAUAUAUAUAUUAUUGCUAUUUCUUAAUGGAACUGUAAAGCUUCUUAUAAACAAGUAAAAAUAACAAAGCUUAUAUUUAUUAAUACAUAGGUUCAAAAUUAUUACCCCUAAGAAAUUAAAAAGGUAUUAAUUAUUUUCUCGCAAGUAAUUUCUUUCAAGUUUCAUAAUGUACAAAGCAUUUAAUAAUCUUUCAUAAUUGAUAUUUUCUAAUAAUUUCUUUUCAAUUAAUAAUAUAACCAAUCUAUGCAGAUUAAUAAUUUUUGAACAUAAUAUUUCAAAUAUAUAUAUAUCAAACUUCUUCUAAUUUUUUUUCUUUCUAUACGAGAAGCUCAAUUUUUCUAUAGUACGCUAUUAUUUUUUGUAAUAAAAAAUAAAAUCUAUUAUUGCUAAAAAGCAAAUGCCCUUCCUUCAAAUUUUGAGGUCUUAAAGGCACUUAUCUUUUGUUAAUUAACCUUGUAGAAUUUGUACUAGAGUAUUGUGGUCCCGUUUGACUUCAAAUAUAUUACGAGAAAAUUUGCAAGAAAAUUUAAAAAAUAAUGUUUGAUCAUAUAAUUUAUUAUUAUUUAGCAAAUAUCUAUCAAAUAUUUUAAUUUUUAAAUUUUAGAAAAAAAAUAAUAUUUGAGUAAAGUUCUAAUAUUUAGAAAUUCAAAUAAAUCACGUCAAACUUUUAUAUUUUAUAAAUAGCAUUCGACAUUUAUUAAUUCCAACUAAUAUUUAUCUACCAAGUUACUCUAUUAAUAACUAAUAAUUACUCAUCUGUGCUAUCUAUAUAGAACCAGACCCAAAAAUAACAAAUUAUUGUUAAUGAAUUAUCAUUAAUAACAAUUAAUUGAUGUAAUGUGUAACAACUUCAAUUUCACAAUAGAAACAUUCAAAUAUUAUAAUCGUUAAAGUCAAAGUUACAACGGAAAAUGAAACUAACAAGAAAAUCGUAAAACGAUAAUGAACUAGUAAAACAAAGAAACCAUUGAAGAAGACUACUAGAAGGGAGAUGAGAAACACAGACUCAAAAAAAGGAAUGAGAGGACUAGACACUUUUCUACAAUAAUUUACGUAAUCCCUAAAUCACGUAUUACUUAUAUUGAAAGUUCGAACCGUUUUAUACCCACUACUCAAUUCGAAUCCCAAAUUAACCUGGUCCUAUAUUUUUAGCCCAAUAACAACUUAUAUGACAUUAAUAUCUAUAUUUGGUUAAACUUGAUUCAUAACAUAUUGCUCCUACCCAUAUUUUUAUUUUGUUGUGAAUUGAUAUUAAUUACUUUAUAAGCUAUUUUUUUAAAAAGGAAUAUGUUUAUUAUAAAAUGACAUUACAAACUUAAAAUAAUUUGUCAAAAAAAUUUAAAAAUUUGAGGCACACUAGAUGUGUACCGUGUUGUGAUAGAUGGGUUGUGUAGAGAGAGGAGAUUUACGAAAGCACAAAAUUGUUUGAUAACAUACUUUUUAAUUUGCUUUUAUAAUCCUCUUUUUUUAGAAAUAUUUUAUUUUUAGUUUUUAGGUAACAUGUUUAAGGUCAUAAUAAGACUAAAUGUCGUUUUGAUAUAUUUGACAUAACUUCAAUUUAGGAUCACAAGAUUAAAUUAUCUUUUUAAACUUUGUAUCAAGUUAAAUUAGAUUGUUAUUUUUUGAAAUGAGAGAAAAUGAUCAAAUGACCCCUUAACGUAUAACCGGAUUUUCAACUAUACACUUAAAUUUUAUGGGAGUCCUAUCACCCUCUGAACUAUUUAAAAAUGAAAUAAUUAUACCGUUAAAAAGCCAUAACCACCAAAUCUAUGGUGGAAUGUGAGUUUCACCACAUCAUCAAAUUAUUAUUUUUUUAAUUCUUUUCUUAUAUAUUCUUACCUAUCUCUUGAAAUACUGAAGAUAUUUUCACCAUUUUCACCAUUACUAGAACACCACGAGUCCAUUAAAAUUGGGUCUUUAAGGAAUAAUAAUAAUUUCAGAGCUCGUUCAAAGAUAUUUGGAUUUUGCUCAUUUGAAACCUAAAAAUCAAAUUAGAAAAAGUUGAAGGGGGAAGAGAAGACGAAUAUGAUGGAAUAUUGCCAUUAAUGGUGGUCACCGAAGAUAAGAAAUCCUCUCAAGAAAGAUGAGGAAGAGGAGCCUACCAUGUCUUCCACAUUGUCAUCUAUAGCGACGACAAUUUCAAAAAAGAAGACACCGAUUAUACGACAAUUGAUGGACUAACUAGAUUAAUAGCUAGAAUUUUUGAGAUAUAGUUGAUUAAUUGAGAUUUGAUAUUAGUAAUUAAAGGAUAUAUUAGAAAAAAAUUAUUUUUUUCUGGUUGGCCCAAUCAGAUUCAAAGUAAACUCAUAUUAAUUUUUCUCAAAUCAGAUCCAAAGCAUCUUGGGGUGAUAUAAAUAUAUGUCAUCAAUUGAUUUAGGUUGAUUGAUUUUGCAAGAGCUUUAUAAAUGUUUGAAAAUUUGUUUGGAGUCGACGAAAGUGAAGAUGGUGGCUGUAAGACUUAGGUGAUUGAGAGAUUUGUUUAUAUUGAUGGACAAGAAAGAAAACAAACAAAUAAUUAAAAAUGCAUAUAUUUGUUGAAAAAAGAUAUUCCAUCUGUUUCACAAAAAAUGAUUUGGUUUGACUUGACAUGAAGUUUAAGUAAAUAAAGAAGACUUUUGAAUCUUGUGGUCGUAAAUCAAAGUUAUGUCAAAUGUACAAAAUUAUCUUUUAAUUUUAUGGUCUUAAAUAUGGCACGUGGAAAGCUAAAGUUAAAAUGUUAGAGGUCAUUCUUUUGGAAAUAAACUAAAAUGGAAAGAAUGUCACUCUUUUUUAAAUAAAAAAGAGUUUAACUACUAUCCACCGACGGUGGACAAAAAAUUACACGGGCAUAUAUUUUUGGAAAUAUUUAAUUUUUUAAUUAAUAUAUUUUAAUAUUAUUAAUAUUAAAAUAAAAAUAAUAACAGAGUGUUAUAUGGUAACUUGAAUUAUAAAUUAAUUGUACAAAUUUAAUUAGGAUUCUUAUUUGUCUUACCAAAAACAAAAAAUACAUAAUUUCUUGUGUUUUCUUAUUGGAAAGCACUUCAAUCCUUCAAAGAAAAUCAUUGCCAACAUAUUUUUUUUUAUAAGAACCGGUACUUGUUGCCAUUGAAGCAAUGCUAGCAAAAUAUUAAUAAGAAACUAUUCCAGAAACAUAAAGUGCAACAAAAUCAACAUAUUCAAACUUAUAAGAGUAAGCAAACAAAAUCAAACACUAUUAAAUACGGCCCAUGAUUUAAUCACAAUUGCAUGCUUGGUUACAUUUUUUUAAACGAAAUCCUUCUUUUGAACAAACAAACUCUUGACCAAUAAUGGAUUUAUCUUUUCUUGAUCUACUAAUUCGAUUUUUGCGCACACUAAAACCAUUACGAUGAGCAUAAUCAAGAUAAAAUUUAAAUCUAGUAUCAAGUGAUUGAAAUUCCAUACCGAUGUAAGACUCUCUUAAUUCUUGCUCACCUAGUUGAGGAACAAAAGAUACAACUGCAUUCAUGUUGCUUUCUAUAUCCUCCAAGGAAUCUUCAAUUCCUUCUGCAUUUUGCUCUUCUAAAUUAGAGAUUUCAAAAGUUUCCUGCAAUACACAAUUAUUAGAUAUUAGACUAAUAGGGUAAGUUAGCUUUAAAAUUUUAAAUAUUUUUCAUGGCUAAUGUAUUGAACUUCUUCAAUUUGCUAAAAAGUUCUUAAACGUAUUCUUUAAAUAUCUUCAUCACUACAAAACAUAAAUUUCUUCAUACAUUAAAACAAGAAUAUUUCUUUGAAACGUUUAUUCAUGUUGCGAAAAAGAUUUAAUAAGUUAUGUAAAAAAAGAUAUACGAGGAAAACGCUACCAUGAUAAUUGUUUCAAAUUGCUUCAAUGGUGGAUAGUUGGUUGCUUCAAUGGUUUAUGUAGAAAAAGAAGAACGUUAAUCCAACUAAGAAAACACAAGAAAUUAUGUAUUUUUUAUUUUUGGUAAGACAAAUAAGAAUCCUAAUUAAAUUUGUACAAUUAAUUUAUAAUUCAAGUUACCAUAUAACACUAUGUUAUUAUUUUUAUUUUAAUAUUAAUAAUAUUAAAAUAUAUUAAUUAAAAAAAUUAAAUAUUUCCAAAAAUAAAAUGUCCGUGUAAUUUUUUUGUCCACCGUCGGUGGAUAGCAGUUAAACUCUAAAGAUCAAAUAAAGUUUUAAUAACAGAUUUUGGUGCUCACUCUCCAGAGAGAGUCAAAUACAUUUAGGGAACUAAUUAUUUCAAUUUUGAAUAGUACAAGGGAUGAUUAGACCCCCGUGAAAUUUAAUUGUAUAGCGUUGAGGGCAUUUAAUCAUUUUCUCUUUGAAACAGAGAAUAUAUAUCAUUACGGAUCUAAUCUCCAAAAGAUGAAGAGUGAGUAAACCCUGAAUAAUUUGCGACAUUUAAUACGUUGUUUACUUUAAUUAAUGGACUUAUAAUAAUAAGUUGGAAAGGACCGAAAAAGUUUAAUAUAUAUUGCAUGGUGAAUUUGUACCUUCAUGAAUUUAUUUAAAAGUAUACUUUUUAUAGGCAUUUGUGAUGGUGAUGAUGUUAUAAGUAUAUUUCUCAAUAAUUAGCAUUAUACGUGUAAGAAGUGGUUAGAAAAAGGAGGUACCUAGAUGAAUGAGCACACAAUAGCGUAUACUAUAUUACUCGAAUUUGAUAUAUAUGUGUAAUGCAUAUUAAAAGAACCCUAGUAAAAGUAGACCAAAAAUAUUGAAUAGACGAGAGAGUACAUAUACCAAAUAAGAUAGAUGUGUAUUAUCAAAGAUUAGAUUAAUACAACAUAGCCAAUCGUGAAAUUUCGAUACAAGACUCGACUACACACGAUUUUAAAAGAAACACAGGAAAACAGAAAGUAACAACUGAUAUAAUAUAAUCAAUCGUCAAAUUUCGAAACAAGACUCGAGUACAUACGAUUUUAAACGAAACACAGAAAAAAGAGAAAGUGACAACUGAUACAACAUAGAAAGAAAGGAUCCAUAAGCAAGAUCAAUGCUAUCUAUCUUAUUCUUAAUUCUCCUCAUGAAACCAAAUUCUGAUGAUCAGCUUUACUGAACUCUGCAUUGAUAAUGAACAAAACCAACAUUAAUAAUAAUAAUGAUGAUAACAAAAACAUAAUGUACUAACUAUAAUAGUAUUUUUUUUAUUAUAUAAUUACAUAUAUAAAUAUUUUGAAACUAAUAUUUCUUAACAGUAAAAUAUAAAUAAAAAAAUGCACUUAUUUUUUGAGAAAACCAAACACACUUGUAGGUGCUAGCACAUAUCAUUUUUUUGUUACUUUAUUUUUCAUACUACGAAGAGUUAGGUGUUGUUAUAGGUAAAAAAAGAUGAAAAAUUUAACAUACUUAGAGCAGUCAGUAGAGGGGCUGAUCUUGUAAGGGAUGUUGACACUACAAGUGUUAGGGAGAGCAGCAGCUUUGCCCAAAUUGAGUCCUGUAAAAGAAGAAGCAGCUGAUUUUAGGCAAGUGCAUGCGGCCUGUCGGUCUACUGUAGUCUUGGCUUGACCCAAAAGACCCUUAACACCAUCACAACAGUUUCUGAGAGGACCGCGGUUCAUUAGAUAAGGGAGACAAGGAGCCAAGGUAGAUGUAACUUGACCACAAGUUAAAGCCUCUGCAUGGGGUGCAACCACUACCAUGCAUAAAAGCACAAAGCAUGCAAUCUUGUUAACCAUUUCCAUUCUUAAUGAUUUAUGAAAAUUAGAAUAGUAAUUAUGAGGUUUAUGAGGAAGUAGUGGAUGAGAAGAAAUGUGUUUUGGUUGAGUGUUUUUAUAGAGGGAAAUUUGGAGUAGAUGGCCAAUGGAGGAGUGAGAGAGGUAGUUGGUUGUUAGGUUGAAAAUUUAAAGCAUUUUUAUGGUUGUACAUUAUUUUGCUGGCUCUAAAGUCAUGUGGUAGCUAGUUCUAACAUCUUACGUGUAGGAGUUUUUUUUUUCUCACCAAAGUUCCCAUAAAUAGAUUCCUCGAUCAAUGUAGGACUUUUACCUACUUUAAUAUCCCUUUUUUUACGUAGAUCCAAUUGAGAUGUGGAUCGAAAAUUCAAACAGGAAUGAAUAUAACUCUAAUAUCAUGUUAAGAUAUGUUUUUUAGAUCUAAUUUAAUAAUAAAUGCUAGCUUAUGAGAGGAGUAUUGUCCACAUCCUUAUAAGUAAAUCAUCAGUUUAUUUCCUGAUUAACGUGAGACUUUUACCUACUCUAACAGUUUGAUCGAAGAUUUUUUUUAAAAAAAAAUUAUGAAGUUAUAGAGUUAAAGAUGAAAUUGUAUUGGAUAAUACUUUUACGAAAGAAUAAAAAUGAUGUGAUUAUAGCUUUAAAAAUAAAAAAAAUAAUUAAGAUUUUAAAUACAACUUCAAGUUAAAUAUUUUACGACCAUAAAUUUAAAUUUGGGAAGUGACGAAGUUUAUUUUACUUCUGGCGUUCUUAGCUGGAUUACAACAACGUUUAAUUAAUCAAGGUCUUCAUUAGUGUUUAGACACUUAACCACCCAAGUCUUUAAUGCUUUUUCUACUUACCAGCUUUAUCUCUUAAAAAUUGAUACAAAAUGACUACGUAUUAUAUUUUAUAAAGUUGAAAAUGUGUUCCAUUUUCUUUUUCAAAAUUAUCCUUAACACGUUCCUUAUUAAAUGUAUACAUUUAGAAAUAAUCAUAUCAAUACACGAUCAAUAGUUAUAACGUAUACUUGUUUCUUAGUAUUUCUUAACCCUUUAAUCACCAAAGAUGACGGUGGUUUUAUAAAUAGGCAUUUCAUUAAUAUAGAUUUUGAGUUUAAAUCAUAUUAAUUAUAAAGUCAUAUUAGUCAUUUUUUUAUGGUACCAACACUACAAUUAAUUACCGCUACAAUAUGCAUUUUUAGCGGGAAUUUAACACUCUUUAUAUAUGUUUCUAAAGUCUUUAGCGACAUUGAUUUUAACGACAUUUAACUAAUGCAGGUAAAGACUUUAACACUCUUUGUUAAUGUCAGCAUUUAUUACCGUCAAAAGCUGUUUUUUGUGGUAGUGCAAUUUAGGAUAAAAAGUCUUACAUCGAUCAAAUACAUGAAAGAUACUUUUCGUUUUUUAAGAGUCAAACAAUUUAAGUUUGACUAGUAAUUUACACACGGAAUUUUCUUUUUAUUGAAAUGAAAUGUAUAUAUAUACUUAUAAACUACGUAAAAGUAUUAUAAGUCAUAAUUCAAAAUAUUUUUAAAAUGUAUAAAAAAUUUACGAUUAAAAUAGAUUUGUUUGAAUCUCGAUAUUCAAAAAGUGUCACAUAAAAUGAGACGAAUGGAAUAUAUAUAUAAUACGUUAGUGAUGCGUUAUAAAAUUAUAUGGGCUUAAAUCUAAAAUGGACAAUAUUACUAAUGACUUGAACCUUUAAAAAUGAUAUCUGUUCAACUCAUGUGUCAUCUUUAUUGAUAUAUAUGGACCAAAGCUCUACAUAUAGGCAAAAUCUCAUGUGGUGGAGUAAACCACUGCGUCUAUAUAAGAGGAGGUGCAUGUGAAACCCCAGAUAAAAAGUGUAACAUCAACAAAAUCAAUUGAUGAAAACAUAAAUUAUAUAAAUAAGCAAAUUUUACAUUUUAAUGACAUAUUUUAAAAUCGCGCAGACCUAGAUUUAACUAGAUUCAGGUAGGAAAAAAGAAACAGAACCUGACACUUUGACGUUUCUUAUAUGUUGCACAAAGUGUUGAUUGCUAAUUGGACCACGAAUUCAGCUAUAUUAUUACAUGCUUUCUCUUGGUCCAUGUAGUAUAAAUUUGUGUCGGUCCCAAUAUUAAUUUGGUAGAAGUUGAGUAAAGAUUUGAGCCACCCAAACUCAUUAAUUAGGCCAAACAAGAGGAAAUUUCUUUGAGACAUAUAGUCUUACCUAGAGGCCUAUAAUUUGGUGUAUAAUGUGGGGAUAUGUUUCACAUGUAUGAGUAUUAUAAAGUUUAUAUAAGUUUUAUAUAAAUGAUUUUCUUUAAGAUAAUAAAAUAAUAUUUACUGACCUUUCCAGAUUGGAUUAUUUUUUGACCUAUAAUUUUAGGUUGAUUUUCUCUGAGUUGUUUCAUAUAUCAAUUUUGACUAUUUGUUUAAAUAGUGUAUUAAUAAUACGAGGUUGUGUAUUGAUUGGUGUGGUUCGAUUUGAGAAUUUAUCAGUUUUAUUUAUUGAUUAUUGGUUUGUAAUCAUAUUUUAACCGUUAUUGAACAGUUAAAAUAUUAAUUUAUCGAUUAUUGGAUUAUUAGUUAGUGAUCGCUAUCGAUUUGAUUAUUGGAUUAACAGUUCAAACAAUUCCCAUUGAGAAUUACUAAUGGACUAAUCACUCAUUACAAUACGCAGUAGUCAGUAGUCACUAUGAACUUUCCCCGGUUAGUCUAUCUACAUAAAAUACUUAAUGAAACUCCAUAUUAAUUCAAAUAGAGAUGUCAAUAUUGCCCAAACUAGCAAAUUCAAAAGGAUUUCUCAUAACAACCAAGCCAAUUUUGAUAUGAACUAUAAAGAGAAACCAUUACGACACUGCUAACAAAAAUCAUUAAUGAUCAUGAGACUUACUAAUAAAAGCUUUUUCGUUUGCAAAUUCUAGCAUAGGGCGAUAUACAGACAUAUCUCAUUGACUCACUCACUGUAACUAGAAGAUAAAAACAAACACUUAAAGUAAGGGAACCAACCAUCUUAACCUCAAUUUUAGACACUUAGAAAAUGCUAUUCAGUAUAACUUUUUGGCGUGGGAGCAGUGACAGUGAAUUAAUGAGUGAUGUCGCAACUCUAAAAAUUCCUAAGGCCUUAAGUGAUAUAAAUGUAAGAUACUAAACUUGUUAUUAGGUUAUCACGACACUCAAUUAGAAAUAUGGCUAAACCGAAAUCCAAAUCGGUAAGACGAUGAAAAGUUUAUAAUAAAUUGAGAUUCGAACCGUUAAAUUAUUAAUCUGAAUCUUUGACCCAAUAAUAAAUAUCAAUCUCGAUUUGAUUUGAUCAGCUCUAUGGUGAUAUUUCAAAUAAAAAUCAUGAAGUUAAAUUAAAAAUUGUUGUUUUUUAAGUUGCCACCUAAUGCAUGGAAGAACUUGAUUAAAAAAGUGUCACGACCCAAAUCCGGGCCGCGACUGGCACCACACUUACCCUCCUAUGUGAGCGAACCAACCAAUCUAACCUUAACAUUUCAAUAUAAUAUCAACAGAAAGUAAUGCGGAAGACUUAAACUCAUUAAAUAAAGACCAAUUCAUUAACUUCUAAAAUUCAACAUCUAUUAUUCCCCAAAAUCUGGAAGUCAUCAUCACAAGAACAUCUACGAUCAAACGACUAAACUAAGAGUAUUCUAAAAGCUAAAAAUACAUAAGAAGCUAGUCCAUGCAGGAAGUUCAAGGCAUCAAGACUUGAAGAAGAAGAUCCAGUCCAAGCUAGAAGCAUUAGCUCACCCUGAAUUUCCGAUGUAGCAAGACUGACUUGAAUUACUGUUGAGUUGAAGACGAUGGCACGUUUGCUGCACUCCACAAAUAAACAAGAAGAGAACAUAAAAGUAGGGGUCAGUACAAAACACGGGUACUGAGUAGAUAUCAUCGGCCAACUCAAAAUAGAAAUCAAUAUAUACCAAGUAAUAUCAUAAAAUCAACUAUGAUACUCAACAUGUAGCAACAACAAAUACUAUAUCGUUAACAAUUACCGUCAAGUUCACACAUGAGGACUCAAGCCUCGAUACCAUACUCAUUUGGGAAUCAUGUUCAUUAGAUUGAGUAUAUUAACAUCUUUCAAGAUUCAUUAUCUUUAUUUCUCUGUGUCGGUACGUGACACUCCGCUCCCUCAAUAUUCAUUAAUCCUCUUGUGUCGGUACGUGACACUCCGAUCCCCUAAAUCUAUGUGUCGGUUCGUGACACCCGAUCCCCUAAAUCUAUGUGUCGGUUCGUGACACCCGAUCCCCUAAAUCUACGUGUCGGUUCGUGACACCCGAUCCCCUAUACUACGUGUCGGUUCAUGACACCCGAUCCCUAAAUCUAUGUGUCGGUUCGUGACACCCGAUCCCCUAAUUCUACGUGUCGGUUCGUGACACCCGAUCCCCUAAUACUACGUGUCGGUUCGUGACACCCGAUCCCCUAAUUCUACGUGUCAGUUCGUGACACCCGAUCCCGAGCCAUCCAAUGGUUCGUGCACACGACUCAUAAUCUCUAUGUCGGUUCGUGACACCCAUCCCCAAAUGUCUACGUGUCGUGUUUCGUGACACCCGAUCCCCUAAUCUAUACGUUGUCGGUUAUGACACCCUCCCUUCACGUGUCAGUUCGUGACACCCGAUCCUACUUAAUUCUACGUGUCGGUUCGUGACACCCGAUCCCUAAUCUCCUUCCAUCAAUUCAUCAAGCCUUCUUUCUCAAUUGUAUCUCAAAAAUGAGAAUUAAUUCUCAAUUGUGCUAAACGUGUAUUUUUAGCGGCAAUUGACACUCUUUGUAUCUGUCCCUUAAACUUUUAAACGACAUUGGUUCUAAUGAAACUUAACUAAUGUCGGUAAAGACUUUAACACUCUUUAUUAGGCCUCAUUUGUUUGCACUUAAUGGAGGUCUGAAUCUAAAUCAUUCAAAUUCAGCUUAUUAAGUACAUUUGGUUUUAGGUUUGAAUCUCAAUCAGCCCAUUAAGUUCAUUUGUUUUAUUUUUAAAAAGCCUCUUAAUGGGUCUGAAGAGGUCUGAAUGAAUCAGAUCUGUAGGAGACUCUUAACAACAUUCAGAUUUGUUUAAUAAGUUAUCAAAUAAUAAAUAUCGCUUCUCUACUUUAACCGUGCUUUUUAUCGCAUAACUAAAAACUUUGUUUUUCUCUUUUCUCAAUCAAACGUCAUUUUCCCCUUCUUGAACUGAUAAAUUUUCAUAAAUCUUUUCAAGUUUUUUUUUAUAUUAAUAAUUUUCUUGUAUUGACUGUGUCAAAAACAUUGUUGGUGUAUUAGCUAGCGUUUAUCAAGGUUUUUGAAUGAAAAAAAUUUCCAAAAUCAUGAUUAUUAAAACUUUUUAUUAUCAAAAGCGAUAUAUUUUGUUGAAAUGAAUUUUUAUUAUUUUUAUUAGUUUAAUGUUAAUUUCACAUGCACAUUCAGAUAUUGAAAACAAACAAUAUUAAUUAUUUAGUGUUCAGAUUUAGAGACCACAUCUUAAUAUUCAGAUGUGUAUUCAGAUCAAAGUACCUGAAUCUUAAUAUUCAGAUGUGUAUUCAGAUUCAGACCUCUUAGUCUGGCUGGAAACAAAUAAGGCCUUCCGCUAUUUUUGUUGUAGUGAGUGGUAAUUAAUUAAAAUUAUAGUUAUAUAAACUAAUUAGCUAGUAUAUGUUUGCUUAACUAUACUAUUUUCCCAAAUAAGUUUAUAUUAUCCAUCAUAAAAUAUAAAUAACCACACGUAUUAGAAUGUAUAAAAAUAAUGUACAAUAGAGUAUAUUAGUAACACUUAUAUAUUAGUAAUAUUUGUAUUAGUUAUGCUUGCAUUAGCUAUAUAUAACUUUUUAUUUAUGCAUUGUUUGGUUUGAUGUAUUAAAAAUAGUACGCAUUGUAUAAUUAUAUUUAUUUACAAAAUAGUCUCCACAAUUAUGACGGAAAAAACGUAAAAUGUUUUUAGGGUCAAUUGGGUCUUUAACCAUAUUAAUACACAUAAAAAUUAAGAAAUUGACGCGACUCCUUAAAAAGGGCAUGUAAUUACAGUGGGCGCGAAAUGGCGUGAGCAUAUGUGAUGAUUCCCCAACUCAAUGCGGAGGAGCUCGUAAAGUUUGCUGAGAAAGUUUUUUGUGUGCUUUGAGCGCAAGAUCCAUGGGUUACCACAUAUGAAAAAUUAAGGAAUUUCUGUAAUUCCUAAAAAAAGGGCCUGUGGGUGUGGAAAUGAGCAAGAAAAUAAUAGCAUGAGCAUACGUGAUAGGUCCCAACUCAUGAAUUUGGAGGUCCUCAUAAAAAAUUUUCAAAUUUUUUUUGCGUGCUCAUGGCUAAAGAUCUAUGGAUAAUACAAAUAGAAAAUUGUGGAAUUUAAGCUAUUUCAAAAAUGGGCCUGAAGAUGCGGAUAUGAGUGAGAAAAAAAUGGUGUGAUCAUGCGCGAUGGUUCCCAACUCAAUAUAGAGGUCAUCCUACAAUUUUCUUAGAAAUUUUUUGAGUGCUCCAAGCGCCAAAUCUAUGAGCUAAUACAUAUAAAAAAAUUGAAGAAUUCACGCGAUUCACAAAAAUGACAUAUGGAUGCGAAAAUGUGCGCGAAAAAAAUGGUGUGAGCAUACAUGAUGGUUCUGCAACUCAAUACGGUGGUCCUCAUAAAGUUCUUUCAGAAACAUCUUUUGGGUGCUCCAAAAGUCAGACCCAUAGGCUAAUACACACAAAAAUUGAAGUAUUUGCGUGAUUUCAGAAAAGGCAUGUAUAUGCAAAAAUGGGAGAAGAAAAUGGUGUGAAUAUAUAUACGUGAUGGUUCCCAACUCCAUACGGAGAUCCAUAUAAAGUUUUUUGAGAAAAUAAUUUUUGGUGCUCCGAAUAUAUCGUCUGUAUGGUUGCUACGGAGCAUCUGAUUUGUAUAGAUCGACAUAUCAUUUGUAUUAAAGCGCAAUGAUUGUAUAUAUAUAACUAUAACAGAGGAGGAGGAGGGACUAGGGAAGAGGAGGAGGAGGAGGAGGAAGUUGUCUCAAUGUAUUUGAUAAAAUAGUUUUUGUGAUAAGAGGCGGACCCACCCUUUUAGGUAGGGUGCACGUGCACUUGUUAAUUUCGGUAAAUAAAAUCAUGAGUUUGUGAGUGUAUGUGUGUGUAUUGAUAUAUAUUGAAAAAUUGAGAGAAAUUAGAAUAUAAUUAACGUACUCAUCAUAAAAAGCAUAAGUAUAUAUGUUAUUGUGCUGCCGGUACAAGCUAAAGUAUGCACAUGCAAGACUUGAAUUUGAAUCUAGCUAGAGUGUUGUUUCACUUUUUUUUAUGUUAAGCUUAUCAUAGAGGCUAAAGCUUAUAUUUGAGCUAAGGUAAUAUUGGUGCACCAACUUCAAAUUCCGAUUCGCCUUUUGCAGCAUUAGUUAUUUUUAGCCAAUACGAUAACUAAAAUGGAUCGGAGGGAAUAUCAUGAUUUGAAUAAAGGAUCUAACCAGAGUCAAAUUUAAAAUAUAUUGAUGAAAUUUCUAAAAUUCCAACGUUAUAUCAUCCUUUUCUUAAGAAUUACCAAAUCAUAAUUAGAGUUGAGAAAAAUUUAAAGCAGAAAAUAACAUGUAUUACUAUAUGAAGAUUGGGUUGUAACAUAAGCAACCACCAAUGUUCAUUACAAGACUCGACAAUAUAUAAGUACUCCAAAUUACAAAAGAAAAGAGACAACAUAUAUAUAUAUAUAUAUAUAUAUAUAUAUAUAAUGAUGGAUCAAACUCGAUAGAUAAAUCCAUCUUAUUCUUCAUCUCCACAAGCCAGAUUUAGCUUUCAUCAACCUUACUGGACCCUGCAAUGCAAUAUUAAAUCAACAUUAAAUAUAUAGUAUGCGCGUACACACAUAUAUAUAUCGUUUUGUAACAUAUAAGUUUAAUCAAUAGUCAGACAUAUAUAAAUUACAAAUAAAAGAGAUAUUAUACUGUCAAUUGAAUAAGUAUAAUCACCGUACGUUGAGCAAUCAGUGGAAGGGCUGAUCUUGUAAGGAAUGUUGACUCCACAAACUCCAGGGAGCCCAGCGGCUUUUCCUGUAUCAAUGCCCUUAAUAGAAUUAGCUGCCGAUUUAAGGCAAGUGCACGCUGUCUUCCGGUCUUCUGGGGUCUUGGCUGCGCCCAAUAGACCCUUAACACCACCACAACACCCUCCUAGAGGGCCGCGACCCUCGAGAUAAGGGAGACAAGGAGCCAAGCCAGACGUAACCUCGCCGCAGCUCAGUGACUCUGCAUGGGGUGCAACCACCACCAUGCAAAAAACCACAAAGCAUGCAAUUUUUCCAAACAUUUCCAUUCUUAUAAAAAAAUUGAGUAAAGAUUAUAGAUAUAGUAGUACAAUUGUAUUUGUUUUGUGUGUUAGGUGUAAAAGCUAGUGAGUAUUUAUAGAGAGGAAAUUAGUGGAAUUAAAAAUGAGAGAAUUAGUUGGGAGUUAAGAGUUAAAUGAAAUGAGUAUAAAGUCAAAUUUCGUUUGUUACGUGACUAAUUUUUAUUGAACCACGCUAUACACGAUUUAAGGCCCAAUCCACAAAUUGUCCCAAUACUACUUUUCCUGUUACAGUGACGAAGUCAGAAAAUUUAAUUUAUCGUAAUCUUUUUCUUAAAAUAAUGUGUGUUCGAUGGCUCUACUCAUGCUUUGAAUCAUUUUAUUUUUUAUUCUUUAUGGUAUAAAGUAAAUGUUUUUUUUUUAGAAAAAAAAAAAAUACAAGGAGAAGAGUGGUUAUUAAAUAAAGAAGAGUAAUAAAUAAGGAGAAGGGUGGGAUGUAAAAAAGUCAUAAUACAUGAAAUUGAUUAAACAAUGUCUCGAGUACAAACUAAGGAGACAGAGUACCUUACUGUUAGAUGUGGAAAUAUUAUGGUACAUGAGUUAAUUUUGAAACAAAUGACCCAUUAAUUUCUUUUAAAAAUUGGAUUUAAGGUGUAAUGUUUAUUUAUUUAAAUAAAUCAAUUUGCUUUCAUGACUUUUUUUUUUUAAAAAUGAGUUUAAGGUGUAAAGUUUAUUACUUAAUUAUAAAUGAUUAAAUAUUUUUUGUAUGUUCAAUACAAAUGCUUGUUUCCGGUCAAAAAGAUCAUGAAAAAAGUAUACAAAAUAAUUAAACCUAUAGCAAAAUUAUAAUUAUGUGUUAUAGUUAUAAGUUGCAUAAUUUGCUCACCAUAGCGAAUAUGCUAUGGCUAUUUCGCUACAUAUAUAUAUAUAAAAGAAUUUAAGAUAUAUAUAUUUAUAUAUAUAUAUAUAUGUGUGUGUGUGUUAUAGUUAUAAGUUGCAUAAUUUGCUCACCAUAGCGAAUAUGCUAUGGCUAUUUCGCUACAUAUAUAUACAAAAGAAUUUAAGAUAUAUAUAUAUUUAUAUAUAUAUAUAUAAUAAUAUAUAUUUGCAUAAAUUAUUGUCCGUCUCUCGUGGCUGCCUUUCAAUUCAAUUUAUGUGUUUGUAUAUCUGUAUAUAAUUUGAAUUUGUAUACAAUUUAAUCGAAAUAAAAAUGUUGGUAAUCAAUCAAAAAUUGCUCUCUGUUAUACAUUGUAUUUUAUAUAAUCUAUACUUCUAUAAAGCGAGAAAGAGAAAGACAAAAGAGACCUAAGCAUGAGAAUAUUUGGAUUGUAUAAUUAUAAGUGUAUAGAACAAAAAUAUUUGUAUUUGCAUGUGUACAUACAUUUUCUUCCGCUUUGUACAAACAGAAACACAUUCAAAUAUUAUAAUCGUUAAAGUCAAAGUUACAACGGAAAAUGAAACUAACAAGAAAAUCGUAAAACGAUAAUGAACUAGUAAAACAAAGAAACCAUUGAAGAAGAGACUACUAGAAGGGAGAUGAGAAACACAGACUCAAAAAAAGGAAUGAGAGGACUAGACACUUUUCUACAAUAAUUUACGUAAUCCCUAAAUCACGUAUUACUUAUAUUGAAAGUUCGAACCGUUUUAUACCCACUACUCAAUUCGAAUCCCAAAUUAACCUGGUCCUAUAUUUUUAGCCCAAUAACAACUUAUAUGACAUUAAUAUCUAUAUUUGGUUAAACUUGAUUCAUAACAUAUUGCUCCUACCCAUAUUUUUAUUUUGUUGUGAAUUGAUAUUAAUUACUUUAUAAGCUAUUUUUAAAAAGGAAUAUGUUUAUUAUAAAAUGACAUUACAAACUUAAAAUAAUUUGUCAAAAAAAUUUAAAAAUUUGAGGCACACUAGAUGUGUACCGUGUUGUGAUAGAUGGGUUGUGUAGAGAGAGGAGAUUUACGAAAGCACAAAAUUGUUUGAUAACAUACUUUUUAAUUUGCUUUUAUAAUCCUCUUUUUUUAGAAAUAUUUUAUUUUUAGUUUUUAGGUAACAUGUUUAAGGUCAUAAUAAGACUAAAUGUCGUUUUGAUAUAUUUGACAUAACUUCAAUUUAGGAUCACAAGAUUAAAUUAUCUUUUUAAACUUUGUAUCAAGUUAAAUUAGAUUGUUAUUUUUUUGAAAUGAGAGAAAAUGAUCAAAUGACCCCUUAACGACGUAUAACCGGAUUUUCAACUAUACACUUAAAUUUUAUGGGAGUCCUAUCACCCUCUGAACUAUUUAAAAAUGAAAUAAUUAUACCGUUAAAAAGCCAUAACCACCAAAUCUAUGGUGGAAUGUGAGUUUCACCACAUCAUCAAAUUAUUAUUUUUUUAAUUCUUUUCUUAUAUAUUCUUACCUAUCUCUUGAAAUACUGAAGAUAUUUUCACCAUUUUCACCAUUACUAGAACACCACGAGUCCAUUAAAAUUGGGUCUUUAAGGAAUAAUAAUAAUUUCAGAGCUCGUUCAAAGAUAUUUGGAUUUUGCUCAUUUGAAACCUAAAAAUCAAAUUAGAAAAAGUUGAAGGGGGAAGAGAAGACGAAUAUGAUGGAAUAUUGCCAUUAAUGGUGGUCACCGAAGAUAAGAAAUCCUCUCAAGAAAGAUGAGGAAGAGGAGCCUACCAUGUCUUCCACAUUGUCAUCUAUAGCGACGACAAUUUCAAAAAAGAAGACACCGAUUAUACGACAAUUGAUGGACUAACUAGAUUAAUAGCUAGAAUUUUUGAGAUAUAGUUGAUUAAUUGAGAUUUGAUAUUAGUAAUUAAAGGAUAUAUUAGAAAAAAUUAUUUUUUUCUGGUUGGCCCAAUCAGAUUCAAAGUAAACUCAUAUUAAUUUUUCUCAAAUCAGAUCCAAAGCAUCUUGGGGUGAUAUAAAUAUAUGUCAUCAAUUGAUUUAGGUUGAUUGAUUUUGCAAGAGCUUUAUAAAUGUUUGAAAAUUUGUUUGGAGUCGACGAAAGUGAAGAUGGUGGCUGUAAGACUUAGGUGAUUGAGAGAUUUGUUUAUAUUGAUGGACAAGAAAGAAAACAAACAAAUAAUUAAAAAUGCAUAUAUUUGUUGAAAAAAGAUAUUCCAUCUGUUUCACAAAAAAUGAUUUGGUUUGACUUGACAUGAAGUUUAAGUAAAUAAAGAAGACUUUUGAAUCUUGUGGUCGUAAAUCAAAGUUAUGUCAAAUGUACAAAAUUAUCUUUUAAUUUUAUGGUCUUAAAUAUGGCACGUGGAAAGCUAAAGUUAAAAUGUUAGAGGUCAUUCUUUUGGAAAUAAACUAAAAUGGAAAGAAUGUCACUCUUUUUUAAAUAAAAAAGAGUUUAACUACUAUCCACCGACGGUGGACAAAAAAUUACACGGGCAUAUUAUUUUUGGAAAUAUUUAAUUUUUUAAUUAAUAUAUUUUAAUAUUAUAAUAUUAAAAUAAAAAUAAUAACAGAGUGUUAUAUGGUAACUUGAAUUAUAAAUUAAUUGUACAAAUUUAAUUAGGAUUCUUAUUUGUCUUACCAAAACAAAAAAUACAUAAUUUCUUGUGUUUUCUUAUUGGAAAGCACUUCAAUCCUUCAAAGAAAAUCAUUGCCAACAUAUUUUUUUUUAUAAGAACCGGUACUUGUUGCCAUUGAAGCAAUGCUAGCAAAAUAUUAAUAAGAAACUAUUCCAGAAACAUAAAGUGCAACAAAAUCAACAUAUUCAAACUUAUAAGAGUAAGCAAAACAAAAUCAAACACUAUUAAAUACGGCCCAUGAUUUAAUCACAAUUGCAUGCUUGGUUACAUUUUUUUAAACGAAAUCCUUCUUUUGAACAAACAAACUCUUGACCAAUAAUGGAUUUAUCUUUUCUUGAUCUACUAAUUCGAUUUUUGCGCACACUAAAACCAUUACGAUGAGCAUAAUCAAGAUAAAAUUUAAAUCUAGUAUCAAGUGAUUGAAAUUCCAUACCGAUGUAAGACUCUCUUAAUUCUUGCUCACCUAGUUGAGGAACAAAAGAUACAACUGCAUUCAUGUUGCUUUCUAUAUCCUCCAAGGAAUCUUCAAUUCCUUCUGCAUUUUGCUCUUCUAAAUUAGAGAUUUCAAAAGUUUCCUGCAAUACACAAUUAUUAGAUAUUAGACUAAUAGGGUAAGUUAGCUUUAAAAUUUUAAAUAUUUUUCAUGGCUAAUGUAUUGAACUUCUUCAAUUUGCUAAAAAGUUCUUAAACGUAUUCUUUAAAUAUCUUCAUCACUACAAAACAUAAAUUUCUUCAUACAUUAAAACAAGAAUAUUUCUUUGAAACGUUUAUUCAUGUUGCGAAAAAGAUUUAAUAAGUUAUGUAAAAAAAGAUAUACGAGGAAAACGCUACCAUGAUAAUUGUUUCAAAUUGCUUCAAUGGUGGAUAGUUGGUUGCUUCAAUGGUUUAUGUAGAAAAAGAAGAACGUUAAUCCAACUAAGAAAACACAAGAAAUUAUGUAUUUUUUAUUUUUGGUAAGACAAAUAAGAAUCCUAAUUAAAUUUGUACAAUUAAUUUAUAAUUCAAGUUACCAUAUAACACUAUGUUAUUAUUUUUAUUUUAAUAUUAAUAAUAUUAAAAUAUAUUAAUUAAAAAAAUUAAAUAUUUCCAAAAAUAAAAUGUCCGUGUAAUUUUUUGUCCACCGUCGGUGGAUAGCAGUUAAACUCUAAAGAUCAAAUAAAGUUUUAAUAACAGAUUUUGGUGCUCACUCUCCAGAGAGAGUCAAAUACAUUUAGGGAACUAAUUAUUUCAAUUUUGAAUAGUACAAGGGAUGAUUAGACCCCCGUGAAAUUUAAUUGUAUAGCGUUGAGGGCAUUUAAUCAUUUUCUCUUUGAAACAGAGAAUAUAUAUCAUUACGGAUCUAAUCUCCAAAAGAUGAAGAGUGAGUAAACCCUGAAUAAUUUGCGACAUUUAAUACGUUGUUUACUUUAAUUAAUGGACUUAUAAUAAUAAGUUGGAAAGGACCGAAAAAGUUUAAUAUAUAUUGCAUGGUGAAUUUGUACCUUCAUGAAUUUAUUUAAAAGUAUACUUUUUAUAGGCAUUUGUGAUGGUGAUGAUGUUAUAAGUAUAUUUCUCAAUAAUUAGCAUUAUACGUGUAAGAAGUGGUUAGAAAAAGGAGGUACCUAGAUGAAUGAGCACACAAUAGCGUAUACUAUAUUACUCGAAUUUGAUAUAUAUGUGUAAUGCAUAUUAAAAGAACCCUAGUAAAAGUAGACCAAAAAUAUUGAAUAGACGAGAGAGUACAUAUACCAAAUAAGAUAGAUGUGUAUUAUCAAAGAUUAGAUUAAUACAACAUAGCCAAUCGUGAAAUUUCGAUACAAGACUCGACUACACACGAUUUUAAAAGAAACACAGGAAAACAGAAAGUAACAACUGAUAUAAUAUAAUCAAUCGUCAAAUUUCGAAACAAGACUCGAGUACAUACGAUUUUAAACGAAACACAGAAAAAAGAGAAAGUGACAACUGAUACAACAUAGAAAGAAAGGAUCCAUAAGCAAGAUCAAUGCUAUCUAUCUUAUUCUUAAUUCUCCUCAUGAAACCAAAUUCUGAUGAUCAGCUUUACUGAACUCUGC